RNAcentral lists this long non-coding RNA (210 nucleotides) under Elaeis guineensis (African oil palm). RNAcentral's name for it is "long non-coding RNA (EGUI_LNC050815)". The record is from RNAcentral. Lineage: Eukaryota; Viridiplantae; Streptophyta; Magnoliopsida; Arecales; Arecaceae.
GGGAUCGGAGUUCAAGCUUAUCAGUCUGCAAAUAUUUGACAUAAGUCAGACAACCCCAAACCCUAAUGUGAGAGAAUGUCGGCCUACGUCCAAUUCACAUCUCAAAUAAUAUUUUUGUGAUCAAUUUACUCAAAAUGUUGUUCAGAACAUAGCAUGCAGUCUCAAGAGCAUAACCUCAAAAAGAUAUUGGCAAACUCACAAACCCCAUUA